CACGUAGGGCGCAAGCGUUGUCCGGAAUUAUUGGGCGUAAAGAGCUCGUAGGUGGUUUGUUACGUCUGCUGUGAAAACCUAGGGCUUAACCCUGGGCUUGCAGUGGAUACGGGCAGACUAGAGGUAGGUAGGGGAGAAUGGAAUUCCUGGUGUAGCGGUGAAAUGCGUAGAUAUCUGGAGGAACACCGGUGGCGAAGGCGGCAUCCUGGACCGACACUGACGCUGAGGAGCGAAAGCCAGGGGAGCAAACGGG
Molecule: ribosomal RNA, 253 nt
Filed under: uncultured bacterium
Lineage: Bacteria
Description: partial 16S ribosomal RNA
Rfam family: Bacterial small subunit ribosomal RNA
Source: RNAcentral